RNAcentral lists this ribosomal RNA (253 nucleotides) under uncultured bacterium. Its description in RNAcentral is "partial 16S ribosomal RNA". It matches the Rfam family "Bacterial small subunit ribosomal RNA", at positions 524 to 776 of the family's 1533-position model. The record is from RNAcentral.
UACGUAGGGGGCAAGCGUUGUCCGGAAUCAUUGGGCGUAAAGCGCGCGUAGGCGGCCAGAUUAGUCCGGUGUGAAAGUCAGAGGCUCAACCUUUGAAUGCCGCUGGAAACUGUCUGGCUUGAGUCCGGAAGGGGCGAGUGGAAUUCCUGGUGUAGCGGUGAAAUGCGCAGAUAUCAGGAGGAACACCAAUGGCGAAGGCAGCUCGCUGGAACGGUACAGACGCUGAGGCGCGAAAGCGUGGGGAGCAAACAGG